RNAcentral lists this ribosomal RNA (198 nucleotides) under uncultured bacterium. RNAcentral describes it as "partial 16S ribosomal RNA". It matches the Rfam family "Bacterial small subunit ribosomal RNA", at positions 328 to 539 of the family's 1533-position model. The record is from RNAcentral.
ACGCUCGACACCUACGGGAGCAGCAGUGGGGAAUAUUGCACAAUGGGGGAAACCCUGAUGCAGCAACGCCGCGUGAAGGAAGACGGUUUUCGGAUUGUAAACUUCUGUUCUUAGUGAAGAUAGUGACGGUAGCUAAGGAGCAAGCCACGGCUAACUACGUGCCAGCAGCCGACGGUAAUCUGAGCGGGCUGGCAAGGC